RNAcentral lists this ribosomal RNA (853 nucleotides) under Westerdykella purpurea. Its description in RNAcentral is "partial large subunit ribosomal RNA". It matches the Rfam family "Eukaryotic large subunit ribosomal RNA", at positions 58 to 930 of the family's 3401-position model. Lineage: Eukaryota; Fungi; Ascomycota; Dothideomycetes; Pleosporales; Sporormiaceae. The record is from RNAcentral.
AAAGAACCAACAGGGAUUGCCCUAGUAACGGCGAGUGAAGCGGCAACAGCUCAAAUUUGAAAUCUGGCCCUCUCAGGGUCCGAGUUGUAAUUUGCAGAGGGUGCUUUGGCGAUGGCUGUGGUCUAAGUUCCUUGGAACAGGACGUCACAGAGGGUGAGAAUCCCGUACGUGGCCGCCAGCCUCCGCCGUGUAAAGCCCCUUCGACGAGUCGAGUUGUUUGGGAAUGCAGCUCUAAAUGGGAGGUAAAUUCCUUCUAAAGCUAAAUACUGGCCAGAGACCGAUAGCGCACAAGUAGAGUGAUCGAAAGAUGAAAAGCACUUUGGAAAGAGAGUCAAAAAGCACGUGAAAUUGUUGAAAGGGAAGCGCUUGCAGCCAGACUUGCCUGUAGUUGCUCACCGGGGCUCUUGCCCUGGGCACUCUUCUACGGGCAGGCCAGCAUCAGUCCGGGCGGUUGGAUAAAUGCCUGCUACAUGUACCUCUCUUCGGGGAGGACUUAUAGGGUAGGCGACAUACAGCCAGCCUGGACUGAGGUCCGCGCAUCUGCUAGGAUGCUGGCGUAAUGGCUGUAAGCGGCCCGUCUUGAAACACGGACCAAGGAGUCUAACAUCUAUGCGAGUGUUUGGGUGUAAAGCCCGAGCGCGGAAUGAAAGUGAACGGAGGUGGGAACCCCUCGGGGUGCACCAUCGACCGAUCCUGAUGUCUUCGGAUGGAUUUGAGUAUGAGCAUAGCUGUUGGGACCCGAAAGAUGGUGAACUAUGCCUGAAUAGGGUGAAGCCAGAGGAAACUCUGGUGGAGGCUCGCAGCGGUUCUGACGUGCAAAUCGAUCGUCAAAUUUGGGCAUAGGGGCGAAAGA